This 253-nucleotide ribosomal RNA is filed under the name uncultured bacterium. Its description in RNAcentral is "partial 16S ribosomal RNA". It matches the Rfam family "Bacterial small subunit ribosomal RNA", at positions 527 to 779 of the family's 1533-position model. The record is from RNAcentral.
CGGAGGUGCGAGCGUUAAUCGGAAUUACUGGGCGUAAGCGCGCGUAGGCGGUUUGUUAAGUCGGAUGUGAAAGCCCCGGGCUCAACCUGGGAAUUGCACCCGAUACUGGCCGACUGGAGUGCGAGAGAGGGAGGUAGAAUUCCACGUGUAGCGGUGAAAUGCGUAGAUAUGUGGAGGAAUACCGGUGGCGAAGGCGGCCUCCUGGCUCGACACUGACGCUGAGGUGCGAAAGCGUGGGGAGGCAAACAGGAUU